UACAGAGGGGGCAAGCGUUGUUCGGAAUUACUGGGCGUAAAGGGCGCGUAGGCGGCCUGCUAAGUCGAACGUGAAAUCCCUGGGCUCAACCCAGGAACUGCGUCCGAUACUGGUUGGCUUGAAUCCGGGAGAGGGACGUGGAAUUCCAGGUGUAGCGGUGAGAUGCGUAGAUAUCUGGAGGAACACCGGUGGCGAAGGCGGCAUCCUGGACCGGUAUUGACGCUGAGGCGCGAAAGCCAGGGGAGCAAACGGG
RNAcentral lists this ribosomal RNA (253 nucleotides) under uncultured bacterium. RNAcentral describes it as "partial 16S ribosomal RNA". It matches the Rfam family "Bacterial small subunit ribosomal RNA", at positions 524 to 776 of the family's 1533-position model. The record is from RNAcentral.